UUGCUUGCUUAGUCAGCAUAUAUACUAAAACUGGAAUGAGACAGAAGAUUAUCAUGGCCUCUGCAACAAGGAUAACACCUGAAUUGUAACAGUUUUGUUUUUCUUGU
This is a small nuclear RNA of Dromiciops gliroides (monito del monte), 107 nucleotides long. Lineage: Eukaryota; Metazoa; Chordata; Mammalia; Microbiotheria; Microbiotheriidae. The record is from RefSeq and is a predicted model, not a curated record.